AAGUCGUAACAAGGUUUCCGUAGGUGAACCUGCGGAAGGAUCAUUAAAGAAUCGCCCCGUUUUUUGAAAUGGGUUCUAUUCCCAAACCGUGUAUAUAUACCUUUGUUGCUUCGGCAGGCCGCCUUCUAGGCGUCGGCUCCGGCUGACUGCGCCUGCCAGAGGACCCAAACUCAUUUGUUUAGUGAUGUCUGAGUACCAUAUAAUAGUUAAAACUUUCAACAACGGAUCUCUUGGUUCUGGCAUCGAUGAAGAACGCAGCGAAAUGCGAUAAGUAAUGUGAAUUGCAGAAUUCAGUGAAUCAUCGAAUCUUUGAACGCACAUUGCGCCCCUUGGUAUUCCGAGGGGCAUGCCUGUUCGAGCGUCAUUAUAACCACUCAAGCCUCGGCUUGGUCUUGGGGUUCGCGGUCUCGCGGCCCUUAAAAUCAGUGGCGGUGCCGUCUAGCUCUAAGCGUAGUAAUUUUCUCGCUAUAGGGUCCAGGCGACCACCUGCCAGAACCCUCCAUUCUUUACGGUUGACCUCGGAUCAGGUAGGGAUACCCGCUGAACUUAA
This 550-nucleotide ribosomal RNA is filed under the name uncultured Cadophora. RNAcentral's name for it is "eukaryotic LSU rRNA". The stretch from base 211 to 364 matches the Rfam family "5.8S ribosomal RNA". Lineage: Eukaryota; Fungi; Ascomycota; Leotiomycetes; Helotiales. The record is from RNAcentral.